Molecule: ribosomal RNA, 542 nt
Filed under: uncultured Gammaproteobacteria bacterium
Lineage: Bacteria; Pseudomonadati; Pseudomonadota; Gammaproteobacteria
Description: bacterial SSU rRNA
Rfam family: Bacterial small subunit ribosomal RNA
Source: RNAcentral
GACGAGUGGCGGACGGGUGAGUAACGCGUAGGAAUCUACCUUGUAGUGGGGAAUAACUUGGGGAAACUCAAGCUAAUACCGCAUAAGCCCGAAAGGGGAAAGCGGGGGACUGUAACAGGCCUCGCGCUAUGAGAUGAGCCUGCGUCGGAUUAGCUAGUUGGUGGGGUAAAGGCCUACCAAGGCGAGGAUCCGUAGCUGGUCUGAGAGGACGGCCAGCCACACUGGGACUGAGACACGGCCCAGACUCCUACGGGAGGCAGCAGUGGGGAAUAUUGGAUAAUGGGGGCAACCCUGAUCCAGCAAUGCCGCGUGUGUGAAGAAGGCCUGCGGGUUGUAAAGAACUUUCGGCGGGGAGGAAGGGUUUUUGAGAGAAUAUCUUAAGAACUUUGACGUUACCCGCAUAAGAAGCACCGGCUAACUCUGUGCCAGCAGCCGCGGUAAUACAGAGGGUGCGAGCGUUAAUCGGAAUUACUGGGCGUAAAGGGCGCGUAGGUGGUUAAUUAAGUCAGAUGUGAAAUCCCCGGGCUUAACCUGGGAAUGGC